Long non-coding RNA from Conger conger (European conger), 916 nucleotides. RefSeq lists it as uncharacterized. The record is from RefSeq and is a predicted model, not a curated record. The transcript is spliced from 3 exons. Lineage: Eukaryota; Metazoa; Chordata; Actinopteri; Anguilliformes; Congridae.
GCCGGAGGCAGUUCGCUCCCCUGCUCUGAGUGCAGCUACAAACAAGGCCCUGUUUCUGAUUUCCUCACCAGCUGCUCAUCGGACCAACGCACUUCCAAAAGACACAGGCGACAUGCUGACGCACAAAACAGAAAAGGUAAGAAUGCAGAAGGACAAGAACACAUUUUCCAAGGCCGAGGGAUCCUUCAGUACUGGAUUAUUCCCUCUUUUUCAGCCAACUCAACCAUACGCCACUCUUCUCUGGCCAGCAUCUCCAUAACGGUCCCCUACAGCCCACCUCUCCUCAACACCAACGCGAUGAAGAAGACCGGGAAUACCAACAACCCUGUCAGUGCUGUCCAAGCAAUUUCACAAUCCAUUAGCUCACCCUCCAUGCUAUGAGGUUGGCUGAAUCCUUUUGUUUGAAAAGAAGGAACAUUGUGGGAAGUUUGCCUGUCAUGGUGGACAGGUAGCAAUAGUUAUACUAUAUUAGUGUUGACUUGCUACUGUAUACACACUGUCAAUCAUUGUCAGAGGUGGGAAUGCCAUAGAAUAGGGUGCUGCUCUCCCACGCAGCUGAGGUGCCGUAAAAUGUGAAAAUGCAUAAAUAUCAACAAACGCACGCAAGCACACACCCCGCCCAAUUACUGCAAGUCUUUCCCUCACAAUAAGUAUGGGCCGUUCACCCAAGUAUUUGAGAUGGGCAAAGACUUAAUGUCAGACCCCAAGCUCAUGAUCUGUAUUAUAACAUAAUAAUAAUAAUAAUAAUAAUAAUAAUUAUAAUAAUAAGAAGAAGAAUAAAAAAUAAACUUUCUGCAGGGUUAGAGCUACCAGCUAUCCUUCAGUCUGCAGGGUUAGCGUUGCCUGCUAUCCUUCAGUCUGCAGGGUUAGCGCUGCCUGCUAUCCUUCAGGCUGCAGGGUUAGCGCUGCCUGCUAU